AGGGCACCACCAGGAGUGGAGCCUGCGGCUUAAUUUGACUCAACACGGGGAAACUUACCCGGCCUGGACACUGGAAGGAUUGACAGAUUUAGAGCUCUUUCUUGAUUCAGUGGGUGGUGGUGCAUGGCCGUUCUUAGUUGGUGGAGCGAUUUGUCUGGUUAAUUCCGAUAACGAACGAGACUCUAGCCUAUUAAAUAGGCUCUCGGCUUUUAAACGCCGGGAGGACUUCUUAGAGGGACAGGUGGCGGUUCAGCCGCACGAAAGAGAGCAAUAACAGGUCUGUGAUGCCCCUUGUUGUCCGGGGCCGCACGCGCGCUACACUGAAGAGAUCAGCGUGCUUUACGUUCCUGCUCCGACCGGAGUGGGGAACCCAGUGAACCUUCUUCGUGAUUGGGAUAGAAGAUUGUAAUUAUUCUUCUUGAACGAGGAAUUCCCAGUAAAUGCGAGUCAUAAGCUCGCGUUGAUUACGUCCCUGCCCUUUGUACACACCGCCCGUCGCUACUACCGAUUGAACGAUUU
This 519-nucleotide ribosomal RNA is filed under the name uncultured eukaryote. RNAcentral describes it as "SSU rRNA". It matches the Rfam family "Eukaryotic small subunit ribosomal RNA", at positions 1161 to 1699 of the family's 1831-position model. The record is from RNAcentral.